ACCAUCCCAGUUCGGAUUGCAGUCUGAAACUCGAGUGCAUGAAGCUGGAAUCGCUAGUAAUCGCAAAUCAGAAUGUUGCGGUGAAUACGUUCCCGGGUCUUGUACACACCGCCCGUCACACCAUGGGAGUUGGAAAUGCCCGAAGUCAGUGACCCAACCAAAAGGAGGGAGCUGCCGAAGGCAGGUUCGAUGACUGGGGUGAAGUCGUAACAAGGUAGC
This 219-nucleotide ribosomal RNA is filed under the name uncultured bacterium. Its description in RNAcentral is "partial 16S ribosomal RNA". It matches the Rfam family "Bacterial small subunit ribosomal RNA", at positions 1282 to 1500 of the family's 1533-position model. The record is from RNAcentral.